RNAcentral lists this unclassified non-coding RNA (301 nucleotides) under fungal sp. Its description in RNAcentral is "partial internal transcribed spacer region". The stretch from base 1 to 45 matches the Rfam family "Eukaryotic small subunit ribosomal RNA", at positions 1787 to 1831 of the family's 1831-position model. Lineage: Eukaryota; Fungi. The record is from RNAcentral.
AGUCGUAACAAGGUUUCCGUAGGUGAACCUGCGGAAGGAUCAUUAACGUGCUUCAAAAACAAAACAAAACCAACCCGUGAACUUAAAACUGUAUGUUUUAUAAAUAAUUAACAUUCUAUGUGAAAGCAUAGUUUUGUUGAUUAUUUAUUUAUUCACCCCCUCUUUUAACCACAAAUCUCUUAACAAAGAUGCGUGGAUUAAAAAACCUUUAAUCCCAUUCAUUCUGAAAAAACUUGUUUUCGAUUUAUUUUGGAAACAAAAAUUAAAUUGACGACUUUCAACGGUGGAUCUCUAGGCUCGU